RNAcentral lists this ribosomal RNA (427 nucleotides) under bacterium Ellin6067. Its description in RNAcentral is "bacterial SSU rRNA". It matches the Rfam family "Bacterial small subunit ribosomal RNA", at positions 355 to 774 of the family's 1533-position model. The record is from RNAcentral. RNAcentral also lists the same sequence under 2 other names. Lineage: Bacteria; Pseudomonadati; Pseudomonadota; Betaproteobacteria.
UGGGGAAUUUUGGACAAUGGGGGCAACCCUGAUCCAGCCAUUCCGCGUGAGUGAAGAAGGCCUUCGGGUUGUAAAGCUCUUUUGUCCGGAACGAAACGGUUAGCGUGAAUAUCGCUGACUACUGACGGUACCGGAAGAAUAAGCACCGGCUAACUACGUGCCAGCAGCCGCGGUAAUACGUAGGGUGCGAGCGUUAAUCGGAAUUACUGGGCGUAAAGCGUGCGCAGGCGGUUUUGUAAGCCAGAUGUGAAAUCCCCGGGCUUAACCUGGGAAUGGCAUUUGGGACUGCAAGGCUUGAGUGCGGCAGAGGAGACUGGAAUUCCUGGUGUAGCAGUGAAAUGCGUAGAUAUCAGGAGGAACACCGAUGGCGAAGGCAGGUCUCUGGGCUGACACUGACGCUCAUGCACGAAAGCGUGGGGAGCAAACA